AGUGAACGCUGGCGGUAGGCCUAACACAUGCAAGUCGAACGGCAGCACAGGAGAGCUUGCUCUCUGGGUGGCGAGUGGCGGACGGGUGAGGAAUACAUCGGAAUCUACUCUGUAGUGGGGGAUAACGUAGGGAAACUUACGCUAAUACCGCAUAAGCCCUACGGGUGGAAGCAGGGGACCUUCGGGCCUUGCGCGUAGGAAUGAGCCGAUGUCGGAUUAGCUAGUUGGCGGGGUAAAGGCCCACCGAGGCGACGAUCCGUAGCUGGUCUGAGAGGAUGAUCAGCCACACUGGAACUGAGACACGGUCCAGACCCCUACGGGAGGCAGCAGUGGGGAAUAUUGGACAAUGGGCGCAAGCUUGAUCCAGCCAUACCGCGUGGGUGAAGAAGGCCUUCGGGUUGUAAAGCCCUUUUGUUGGGAAAGAAAUCCAGCUGGCUAAUACCCGGUUGGGAUGACGGUACCCAAAGAAUAAGCACCGGCUAACUUCGUGCCAGCCGCCGCAGUAA
Molecule: ribosomal RNA, 506 nt
Filed under: uncultured bacterium
Lineage: Bacteria
Description: partial 16S ribosomal RNA
Rfam family: Bacterial small subunit ribosomal RNA
Source: RNAcentral